This is a long non-coding RNA of Oncorhynchus tshawytscha (Chinook salmon), 2690 nucleotides long. Lineage: Eukaryota; Metazoa; Chordata; Actinopteri; Salmoniformes; Salmonidae. The record is from Ensembl.
ACUGGAUGUAUGAUUCGUAAAACAUCGUGGUAAUGGAUUCCAUGGUUGUGAUUCCAGGUUUGAUUGUUUAUGUAACACCAGUGAAUUUGAGCACUUUCAAUUGUGUGGAACCAUGUUAGGGUAUUUAAAGUUUGAAAAGCAACCUCUAUAGAAAAACAUAACUGCAUAUGUUUCGGGAAGUAAGCUAGGUUGAAUUUGGUUAUUCAAACUUUUCCCCUGAUACGUAGACAUGCGUGCUUAAGUAGGAUUCUUCAUUCCGGGACAGAUGGAAGUUAUCUAAAAUAAGUCAAUUAAAGGAGCCAUGGGAGAAUGCGAAUGCGUAAUUAUUAAAUAUCGGGGAUUAAAUUACGGAUUUCUUACACUGAGAAAUGUACGACAUUUGCGGCAGAGGGAAAAAAGUAAUACAAUAAUGUUAUCGGGUAAAUUGUAUCCAAGGGUAGCAUGUUCAUUUAAGUAAACAUAUACAUUGACGUUGUUUAAAACUUAUGAUUAAUGAUUUUAGUUAAAGGGGAAUCAUCAUUAGGUUUAGUUUAUAGUUCACUUUUGAGUUUCUGAAUUGGAAUUAGCAUAGUGAAUGCUAGUUAGGAGAGUUGUGUUCUUCUGGGAAAUUUGAUGUUUAGGUGUCUCAGUUUUAGAGGUUUCCUGGGAUUAUAAUCUUGGGGAGAAUGAGGCCAUAAACGACCAAAUUAAAACAAGCCUGCAAGUAUAUAUACCUAAAACCAUUGUUAGGACUAUUUGUUUUAGUGCAAAGGUAUUUUAAAGAGGCAUGCUCACAUAUGGAACCUUAUGAGUUGUAAGUUUGAGUUUUAAUUAUACAAGUGAAUUUUUUUAUUUUAUGACCUAUUGAUCUUAUCAUGACUGUCUUCUGAGGUCUGAUCAGCCUCAGGGGAGAGUCAUUUGUAUAAUGAAUGUGGUCAUAUUGAGUUACUAGUUAUAAUGGAGUGUUGGUUGGGGGGUUAGAAUUAUUGUUUGAACCGCAAAUGAGAAAGUGGUUCAGGAUUCUAUUUUACAACAUUAGCUGUGAAGUUUUUUGAAUGGGCUAUUAAUGAUUUGGUAUUGUAACAGAGAAAAAGUCAUAUUUAUCAUUGAGAAUAAAUAGGGGAAGAUAAGAUAGAUUAAGCCAAUAAGGCAGGGAAUUACAUAGAAAAAUAAGUUGCAGUUUUUAGGGGUGAUAAAUUACUGUAGAUAAGGUAUUCCACACUUUGCAACACAUAUUAAAUUCAUGUUAUUGUCAGAUAGAAUACUGAGGGUCCCCGAAGGAGAGGGCUUGAUAGUGUAGGAAGGAUUUUGAUAUGAUUAGCAUUUGUUUUGAAUUUGUUUGACUAUUAGGAGUUUUUUUAAAUAGUAUUAAAUUUAACAGGAAUAUAGGACAUCUGUGAUGAUUUAGGAUUAUUGUUAGGAUUAAGAUAGGUUGAUUAAGGAAAUGUAAGGACUUUAGAGAUUGCCACUCAUAGACAUGUUUAUUCUAAAAAUCAAUGAUUUUAGAUAAAGUCAAACAGUUAGAAGCUUAGUGGUAUUUGAGAGAUAUGAGAGAAAAGGUUUAAAUUGGUAAAAAUAUAUAUUUAAGAAAAUAUAUAAGUAGCGCAGAUAGUUCAUAAAAGUAGAUAAGAAACUUGACAGGGAAUUGGUACAGGAUUGACAUGAAUGGACGCCCAAGGGAGAAUGGGACAUUCUCUGGGGACAUGGGAAAAUUAAAAGGGGCUCCUACAUGAUGAUGUCAGACAUAAGGAUAAUUUACAAAUCUUACCUAAGUCAUUGUUUAAGAAUAGGCAAGGUUGUUACCUGGGCAGAGCCAGGUAACAAAGGGGGGAUGGGUAAAUUGUGUUCUAGAAUAGGAUGUGACCUACGGGAUAAUUACCUGAUAAAAAAAAAAAAUUUAGCUAAUAAACAGAACAAAUGAGAAACUGUUUGUUAACCAAACCUGUAUGUCCAAGAUUUUAUGCACUACAGGUGAACUACAGGUGAAGUCACUCAAUCCAGUCCCAUAGACUUGUUGGGGGGACCAUACCAAGGACUCCUGGUGACAGCUAGCUGAAAGAGCUACCCGGAUUCAUAUCGCACUGCGGGAGGUUUUGUACGGACGUGGUUGAUUGCGUGUAUGUAUGAAAGUUAUUAUUUCCAGGACUCUGGAGUAAUCUAUGACAAUAGAUGAUGCGGUGUGGGACGAUUCCAGGUUCUGACCCGUGGAGGACUGAAUGCCUGACUACAGGACAAGUGGACAAAUCUGGAUCUUUCAUCAUUGUGGAAUUUAUGUUUGAUGAGACUAGUGUUGAGGAUAGAAUUAGAUUGUACUUUGUUUCAAUAUUAGACUGUUUUUUAAUAAAAAGAUUGUAACGAAAAUCCUGAAAGAAGAGUUAUGAUUCUGAUGUAGGUUUAAAAACAGUAGGAGUUAAGGUUAGAUUUGAGUAAAUAUGGGUGAAGAGCCGGAUAAACAUUUAUAAUAAUGUGUCUAUUCAUAUGAUAAUCUGAUAAACCUUUAUAAUAAGGUUAGUAUAAGUAGGUUAAUAUUUUUAUUUUUUAUGUUUAAUAAAACUAGAUGUAGAUUUGAAUGUAUAAUAUUUGAUCAAAGGGAAAUGACUAAUUAUGUAUACAUUCCAAUCAGAACUGACUAGUCCAAAUGCUAUAAUGUACUGUACAUAUGAAUAUUCUCUCUUGCUCCCAUUCCCAAUUGUAUAUAAUGUAGUCAGGAG